GUGAUUUUGACUACCAUCAAAGUGGUUCCCCCUAAAGCCAUGUGUGCCUGUCUACAUGGACAGCCAUUAUUCAUGGCCUAUGUGAAAUGCAGGCAUUAUCCUGGCAGGAAGCUGAGCAGGUGUUCCUCAGUGGCCCUUCUUAUCACUCUAGUGAAGUCGAGGAAUUUG
Paramisgurnus dabryanus is the source of this 168-nucleotide long non-coding RNA. RefSeq lists it as uncharacterized. NCBI's taxonomy places the organism in Eukaryota, Metazoa, Chordata, Actinopteri, Cypriniformes, Cobitidae. The record is from RefSeq and is a predicted model, not a curated record.